RNAcentral lists this ribosomal RNA (305 nucleotides) under uncultured bacterium. RNAcentral's name for it is "bacterial SSU rRNA". It matches the Rfam family "Bacterial small subunit ribosomal RNA", at positions 335 to 634 of the family's 1533-position model. The record is from RNAcentral.
AGCCUACGGGGCGCAGCAGUAGGGAAUUUUCGUCAAUGGGCGCAAGCCUGAACGAGCAAUGCCGCGUGAACGAGGAAGGUCUUCGGAUCGUAAAGUUCUGUUGAAGGGGAAAAAGAGCGGAGAGAGGAAAUGCUUUCUGAUUGAUAUUACCCUUCGAGGAAGUCACGGCUAACUACGUGCCAGCAGCCGCGGUAAUACGUAGGUGGCGAGCGUUAUCCGGAAUGAUUGGGCGUAAAGGGUGCGUAGGCGGCCUGCUAAGUCUGGAGUGAAAGGUACCGGCUCAACCGGUACGGGCUCUGGAAACU